CCUACGGGGGGCUGCAGUGGGGAAUAUUGGACAAUGGGGGCAACCCUGAUCCAGCCAUGCCGCGUGUGUGAAGAAGGCCUUUUGGUUGUAAAGCACUUUAAGCAGUGAAGAAGACUCCAUGGUUAAUACCCAUGGACGAUGACAUUAGCUGCAGAAUAAGCACCGGCUAACUCUGUGCCAGCAGCCGCGGUAAUACAGAGGGUGCAAGCGUUAAUCGGAAUUACUGGGCGUAAAGCGAGCGUAGGUGGCUUGAUAAGUCAGAUGUGAAAUCCCCGGGCUUAACCUGGGAACUGCAUCUGAUACUGUUAGGCUAGAAUAGGUGAGAGGAAGGUAGAAUUCCAGGUGUAGCGGUGAAAUGCGUAGAGAUCUGGAGGAAUACCGAUGGCGAAGGCAGCCUUCUGGCAUCAUAUUGACACUGAGGUUCGAAAGCGUGGGUAGCAAACAGGAUUAGAUACCCCUGUAGUC
Molecule: ribosomal RNA, 465 nt
Filed under: uncultured Psychrobacter sp.
Lineage: Bacteria; Pseudomonadati; Pseudomonadota; Gammaproteobacteria; Moraxellales; Moraxellaceae
Description: bacterial SSU rRNA
Rfam family: Bacterial small subunit ribosomal RNA
Source: RNAcentral